RNAcentral lists this ribosomal RNA (272 nucleotides) under uncultured Streptococcus sp. Its description in RNAcentral is "partial 16S ribosomal RNA". It matches the Rfam family "Bacterial small subunit ribosomal RNA", at positions 1110 to 1382 of the family's 1533-position model. The record is from RNAcentral. Lineage: Bacteria; Bacillati; Bacillota; Bacilli; Lactobacillales; Streptococcaceae.
GUUAGUUGCCAUCAUUCAGUUGGGCACUCUAGCGAGACUGCCGGUAAUAAACCGGAGGAAAGUGGGGAUGACGUCAAAUCAUCAUGCCCCUUAUGACCUGGGCUACACACGUGCUACAAUGGUUGGUACAACGAGUUGCGAGUCGGUGACGGCGAGCUAAUCUACUUAAAGCCAAUCUCAGUUCGGAUUGUAGGCUGCAACUCGCCUACAUGAAGUCGGAAUCGCUAGUAAUCGCGGAUCAGCACGCCGCGGUGAAUACGUUCCCGGGCCUU